AAGUCGAGCGGACCGACGGGAGCUUGCUCCCUUAGGUCAGCGGCGGACGGGUGAGUAACACGUGGGUAACCUGCCUGUAAGACUGGGAUAACUCCGGGAAACCGGGGCUAAUACCGGAUGCUUGAUUGAACCGCAUGGUUCAAUCAUAAAAGGUGGCUUUUAGCUACCACUUGCAGAUGGACCCGCGGCGCAUUAGCUAGUUGGUGAGGUAACGGCUCACCAAGGCGACGAUGCGUAGCCGACCUGAGAGGGUGAUCGGCCACACUGGGACUGAGACACGGCCCAGACUCCUACGGGAGGCAGCAGUAGGGAAUCUUCCGCAAUGGACGAAAGUCUGACGGAGCAACGCCGCGUGAGUGAUGAAGGUUUUCGGAUCGUAAAACUCUGUUGUUAGGGAAGAACAAGUACCGUUCGAAUAGGGCGGUACCUUGACGGUACCUAACCAGAAAGCCACGGCUAACUACGUGCCAGCAGCCGCGGUAAUACGUAGGUGGCAAGCGUUGUCCGGAAUUAUUGGGCGUAAAGCGCGCGCAGGCGGUUUCUUAAGUCUGAUGUGAAAGCCCCCGGCUCAACCGGGGAGGGUCAUUGGAAACUGGGGAACUUGAGUGCAGAAGAGGAGAGUGGAAUUCCACGUGUAGCGGUGAAAUGCGUAGAGAUGUGGAGGAACACCAGUGGCGAA
This 679-nucleotide ribosomal RNA is filed under the name Bacillus sp. (in: firmicutes). RNAcentral describes it as "bacterial SSU rRNA". It matches the Rfam family "Bacterial small subunit ribosomal RNA", at positions 59 to 719 of the family's 1533-position model. Lineage: Bacteria; Bacillati; Bacillota; Bacilli; Caryophanales; Bacillaceae. The record is from RNAcentral.